Dipodomys ordii (Ord's kangaroo rat) is the source of this 310-nucleotide unclassified non-coding RNA. Its record names the gene 7SK. It matches the Rfam family "7SK RNA". Rfam says of the family: 7SK was discovered as an abundant small nuclear RNA in the mid-70s but a possible function has only recently been suggested. Two independent studies have found that 7SK RNA binds the CDK9/cyclin T complex (known as elongation factor P-TEFb). P-TEFb activates transcription by phosphorylating the C-terminal domain of RNA polymerase II. The record is from Ensembl. NCBI's taxonomy places the organism in Eukaryota, Metazoa, Chordata, Mammalia, Rodentia, Heteromyidae.
UGAUCUAAAGCGAUCCCGCCACACCAUCCGUCACCCGGUUGAUCGGCAGUGUUGAUUCGGCUGAUGUGGCUGGCUAGGCCCUUCCUCCCUCCAGCUCCAUGUGAGCCCCUCCCGAAGCUGUGUGCUGGGUCAGAGAGGUUGCCACCCCUGACAGAGGAGGACCGGUCUUCGGUCAAAGGUAUACAAGUGGCUGCGCCCCCCUGCUGGAACCUGCAGGCAGGCGUCACAGUGCUUUUACUGGUGGUCACGCUUACUUUCUGGCUCCCUUCUGUUCCGUGUGGGGCUUCUGAACGCAGGGCCGCCCACUUGC